Molecule: ribosomal RNA, 73 nt
Filed under: Alkalithermobacter thermoalcaliphilus JW-YL-7 = DSM 7308
Lineage: Bacteria; Bacillati; Bacillota; Clostridia; Peptostreptococcales; Tepidibacteraceae
Description: [Clostridium] paradoxum JW-YL-7 = DSM 7308 16S rRNA. Bacterial SSU
Rfam family: Bacterial small subunit ribosomal RNA
Source: RNAcentral
UUAUAUUUGAGAGUUUGAUCCUGGCUCAGGAUGAACGCUGGCGGCGUGCCUAACACAUGCAAGUCGAGCGGAG